Molecule: ribosomal RNA, 484 nt
Filed under: uncultured bacterium
Lineage: Bacteria
Description: partial 16S ribosomal RNA
Rfam family: Bacterial small subunit ribosomal RNA
Source: RNAcentral
AUUGAACGCUGGCGGCAUGCCUUACACAUGCAAGUCGAACGGCAGCGCGGGAGUAAUCCUGGUGGCGAGUGGCGAACGGGUGAGUAAAGCAUCGGAACGUGCCCAGUCGUGGGGGAUAACGUAGCGAAAGCUACGCUAAUACCGCAUACGAUCUGUGGAUGAAAGCGGGGGACCGUAAGGCCUCGCGCGAUUGGAGCGGCCGAUGUCAGAUUAGGUAGUUGGUGAGGUAAAGGCUCACCAAGCCGACGAUCUGUAGCUGGUCUGAGAGGACGACCAGCCACACUGGGACUGAGACACGGCCCAGACUCCUACGGGAGGCAGCAGUGGGGAAUUUUGGACAAUGGGCGCAAGCCUGAUCCAGCAAUGCCGCGUGCAGGAUGAAGGCCUUCGGGUUGUAAACUGCUUUUGUACGGAGCGAAAAGGCUUCCACUAAUACUGGGGGCUCAUGACGGUACCGUAAGAAUAAGCACCGGCUAACUACGUG